RNAcentral lists this long non-coding RNA (259 nucleotides) under Carica papaya (papaya). RNAcentral's name for it is "long non-coding RNA (CPAP_LNC014618)". The record is from RNAcentral. Lineage: Eukaryota; Viridiplantae; Streptophyta; Magnoliopsida; Brassicales; Caricaceae.
GUAUGGUAAGGCAUUAAUAUUAUAAAGAAGUAUAUUGGUCUCAUACCUCUUGCUACUUUUGGGGUGGUGUAGAAGAAGAAAAACAAGAGAGUUUUUGAGGGAAUGAAAGAUGAUUUUGAUAGGAUAAAAGAUAAAUGAUUCUAGACCCUAGGUUUUUUUAUUAUUAGUCAUUCUCUCUAUUCUGUUGAGGACUUUGGGAAGCUUAUUGAUAACUUGAUCAAUAUGUAAAUAUUAUUGUACAUGUGCAUGAAUCAUAUUA